RNAcentral lists this ribosomal RNA (232 nucleotides) under uncultured bacterium. Its description in RNAcentral is "partial 16S ribosomal RNA". It matches the Rfam family "Bacterial small subunit ribosomal RNA", at positions 99 to 334 of the family's 1533-position model. The record is from RNAcentral.
CGAACGGGUGAGUAAUACAUCGGAACGUGCCCAGACGUGAGGGAUAACGAGGCGAAAGCUUUGCUAAUACCGCAUACGAUCUAAGGAUGAAAGCAGGGGACCGCAAGGCCUUGCGCGUUUGGAGCGGCCGAUGGCAGAUUAGGUAGUUGGUGGGAUAAAAGCUUACCAAGCCGACGAUCUGUAGCUGGUCUGAGAGGACGACCAGCCACACUGGGACUGAGACACGGCCCAG